CAGUCGCCGCGGUAAUACAGAGGAUGCAAGCGUUAUCCGGAAUGAUUGGGCGUAAAGCGAGCGCAGGCGGUCAAUUAAGUCUGAUGUGAAAGCCCCCGGUUCAACCGGGGAGGGUCAUUGGAAGCUGGUUGACUUGAGUGCAGAAGAGGAGAGUGGAAUUCCAUGUGUAGCGGUGAAAUGCGUAGAUAUAUGGAGGAACACCAGUGGCGAAGGCGACUCUCUGGUCUGUAACUGACGCUGAGGCUCGAAAGCGUGGGUAGCAAACAGGAUUAGAUACCCCGGUAGUCCCUGUCUCUUAUAA
RNAcentral lists this ribosomal RNA (301 nucleotides) under uncultured bacterium. RNAcentral's name for it is "partial 16S ribosomal RNA". It matches the Rfam family "Bacterial small subunit ribosomal RNA", at positions 509 to 809 of the family's 1533-position model. The record is from RNAcentral.